CUUCCACUACACACCACUGCCUAUGAGCCUAGCUUAAUCUUCAGAACGAUUCCAAAGUAGCUAUCAUGAUCCUCAUUUUACAAACAAAGAAAUUAGUCCCAGAAAGAUUAAUGUGACCAAAUCACAAAUCACAGCUAAUAGGUGAAGAGGCUGGGAGAAUUUAAACUCAGCCCUAUUUAACUCCAAGUCCAUGCUUAUGAAGGUAAAUAAUAUAGUACAUAUUCAACACUCAAUAUAAUUCUUCUUUCCUCUGAUCGGAAAGCAGCAAGUUGAGUUAUUACUAUAACACAGAGUAUUAUUCCUAGUGGCUUCCUCUUCCUUCUUCGGUCCUAGGUGGCUAAACUUCUAUUGAACUAUCAAUCUCAGGUGCUUUUCUUGUUGGAGUGGGGAGGACAGAACUCUGCCAUAACCUUCCAUGAUAUUAACCUGGAAAAAGUUUAACCCUGGCCAAAUCUAACACUAUACACUUCACACCCUUAUUUAAGUGGCUGAAUCAUGCUAAUUUGUCUCCUUUUACAUUAAUUGCCCUGAACCUCAAAUGGGCAUUUAUUGCCCAGAAUUAUUACCGCCUUUCUUCAGUAAGUUCAUUUUCCCACUGUUAGAGAAUAUUAUUUCACACCACUUCUCUUCUCAGCCCUCCAACACACCCUGACAAAAUUUCAUCCCACCCCCAUCUCAUAAUUCUCCCUUCUCUGUUGCAGCAACAAUUUAUACCUUUCCACUGGGUCAUCCCAUAUAAUUUACAAACAUCUCCUAGCACUCAUAUUUAAAAACAUCAAAAACCAAAAGCAAAACCCUCCUUUGAAUCCACAUCUGGCUAUAGCUACCACCCCACUUCUCUGCUAUCCUGCUCAGCUAAAUCUUUGGAAGAGUGGUUUCAUCCAUCUCCAUUUCACCACCUUCACCAAUCAUCUCUAUUCACCAAUGUCCCUGAAACUGACAUUAUCAGGGGCUCUAGUGACCUCCACGUUGCCAAAUGCAGUGAUCUUUUCUGUCUUCAGCCUCUCAACAGCCUUUGAAAUAGCUGAUCACUACCUUCUUAAAACUUCUGUCUGGCUUUGGUGACACCAAAUUCCUGGUCUUCCUACCUCACUGCUUGCUUUCUACUUCACUUGCUUCUUCUCAGACUCUUGUUUUACAGGUGUCUCCUCCUCCACCUCAUCUCCAAGCAUUAGAGUACCAUAGGGUCAGUCCUGGGUCCCCUUCUCUUCUCCAUUCACACAUUUUCUCUAAGUGAUCACAUUCAUGCUCCAAAGUGCACAGAAACUGGGGAUACAUAACGAAGCAAAGUAUAUCCCUGUGCUCAGGGACUUACAUUCCAGAAGAGGGAGAGGCAAUAAGCAGUAAAUAAUUUCGUACAGAUGUAAUAAAUAUAAAAAAUUAAAUGUGAUAAACUAAAUCAUGUUCUUCUCUCCAUAAAAAUUUUCAAAUAGUUUCCCAAGGUGGAAGUCCAAAUUCCUUACUAUGACCUUGUUACAAGAUUCUGUGAGAUCUGGCUUCUGUUUGUCCCUCCAACCUUAUCUGUACUACUCUAUCAGACUGCAACUUGGCUCUAGUCGCACCGGCAUUCUUUCUAUUCCCUCAAGGUUCCAAUUUUUUUCCCUUCAGCCACGUGUUUCCCCUAUCUGGAAUGCUGUUCCCAGAUCUUGGACAGGUUGCUUCCUCUUAGCUCAAGUUUUCACUUCAACAGAGUGAAUUUCACUAAGUCAGCUCCCUCAUCAUUUUCUCUAUCAAUUACACCUUUUUGUUUUAUAGCACUUAUUACUUUACAGAGAUUUUGCUUAUUUAUUUGUUAACAAUAUCUGUUGUCCCUACUAAAAUGUAAGCUUCGUAAGAAGAGGAAUCUUAAGAUGUUGUUUACUAUAGUAUCCCUCAAAGUCUAGAACAGUGCCCAACAUAAGAGGAUACUGAUAAAUAUUUUUUAAAAGAAUUUACACACGCCUGUAGUCCCAGCAGUUUGGGAGACCGAGAUGGGAGGAUCACUUGAGCCCAGGAGUUCGAGGCUGCGAUUGCGCCACUGCGCUCCAGCCUGGGCGACAGAGAGA
RNAcentral lists this long non-coding RNA (2045 nucleotides) under Homo sapiens (human). RNAcentral describes it as "HSALNT0240095". The record is from RNAcentral. Lineage: Eukaryota; Metazoa; Chordata; Mammalia; Primates; Hominidae.